GCUUGUAUGUCCCCUGGUGAUAGCCGGAGAACUGCCCAAUCUCUCUCCUCCAUGCAACUGGCGAGCAAACCAACAAAACCACUACACUCACCAAAACCAUCGUUUUCUCUUUUGAAAUCUCUUUCAGGUAAAAAAAAAGAAAAAAGAAAUCUCUUUCUUUCUCCUCUAAAACCUCACCUGCAAUGGCUUUCUUCUCAUUUGGGCUAUACCAUCUCCAACCAACCAAUUUAAGAAACAAUCCGUCCGCUUUCCUUCUUCCCUUAAUCUGUCUUCACUUCAUUCUCAGUUUUGUUUGGCUUUAUCUCCACUUAGAUUAGGUUCAAGAUUGCUUGGCAGUGGUCUUCUUGCAAGAGCUGAAGAUAAACAAAAUAGGGUUUGAGGAUCUGAGUAAGGUUACGUGUUAAGUGGGCGUUUUUUUUGGUAAAUUCAAAGAUGUUUUGGCGUGGCGUCGCCGGUGGAGACAAUUUUGGACAAGGACAACUUUACACUCGAGGAGCUGUUUGAUGAGGAUGAAAUUAUUCAAGAAUGCAAAGCUCUAAAUGGACGUCUUAUCAAUUGGUAAUGUCUUUUUAUGGCUAAUUGCUCUGUGCUUCUCCUUGCUUUUUCUAUAAAAGUUCUCUUUAAGAAUUUUGUUAAUUGAGGAGAUUUUUGUAAUU
Manihot esculenta (cassava) is the source of this 656-nucleotide long non-coding RNA. RefSeq lists it as uncharacterized. The transcript is spliced from 3 exons. The record is from RefSeq and is a predicted model, not a curated record. Lineage: Eukaryota; Viridiplantae; Streptophyta; Magnoliopsida; Malpighiales; Euphorbiaceae.